Molecule: unclassified non-coding RNA, 394 nt
Filed under: uncultured Planctomycetia bacterium
Lineage: Bacteria; Pseudomonadati; Planctomycetota; Planctomycetia
Description: contains 16S-23S intergenic spacer region
Source: RNAcentral
UCCGGCUUAUCACCGGCGGUUUCUUUAGAGUGCCCAACUAAAUGAUGGCAACUAAAGACGAGGGUUGCGCUCGUUGCGGGACUUAACCCAACAUCUCACGACACGAGCUGACGACAGCCAUGCAGCACCUGUAUUAGGCUCCCCGUCUAAGGGGUUCGUUACCGUUUCCGGCUUCUACUACCUAACGCUUUCGCGCAUGUCAAGUCCAGGAUAAGGUUCUUCGCGUAGCCUCGAAUUAAGCCACAUGCUCCACCGCUUGUGUGAGCCCCCGUCAAUUUCUUUGAGUUUCAGCCUUGCGACCAUACUCCCCAGGCGGGGUACUUAGCACUUUAGCUUCGGCAGUAAACCCAUAUCUAGUCUACUACCUAGUACCCAUCGUUUAGGGCUAGGACUA